Molecule: long non-coding RNA, 613 nt
Organism: Hypanus sabinus (Atlantic stingray)
Lineage: Eukaryota; Metazoa; Chordata; Chondrichthyes; Myliobatiformes; Dasyatidae
Exons: 3
Source: RefSeq, a predicted model, not a curated record
GCCAUUUCCAUUUUUCAGUUAUUAAUUUGAGUUGUACAACUGGUGUUUAUGUAGAGCAUUUACUGUAUAUCUACCUUCUGAUUCCCUUCCCAAAGCCCAGUUUGGAGAGAACAACAUUAUGAAAAACUGAGAUAAGGUGAUCAGGUUACACACUGCCUCUUUUCAAUGCAUAAGCAUGAGCUCGAGCAUUCACAUACAGUGGUAACAUUUUGACUAGUAUGAAGGCUCCAAAUCAAAUGGGUGCAGAGGGUUAUAGGCUCAACCAACUCCAUCAUGGGCACAACCCUCCCUACAUUUGAGAACGUCUUCAAGAGGUGGUAUUCAAGAAGGCAGCAUUCAUCACUAAGAACCCUCACCAUUUUGGAGAGGCCUGAAGAUCCACACUUACCAAUUCAGAAACAGCUUCUUCCUAUCUGUCAUCAGAUUUCUGAACACUACUGUUGGGACCUGAUCCUGGGAGCUCACAGAUGGCUGCUUUUCAAUAUCCCAAGGAUGCACCCCCGGGGUUCUGAGGUUUUGCGGCCCUGUGGAUGGGCUGAUUCUCAGCUAGUGCCGCCAGUUGAAGCAUCAUGGGAACAGAACAUCAGAAACAGCAGCAGAUCAGCUGUCAGAA